GGGGUUGACAUGUACAUGUUUGAAACAAAAGUGUAUAAAUAAAUGAAUUGUUGAUAACGUAGUUAUUGACCUGGAGACUGGUAGCUAUUGAAGAAACUCCA
Molecule: long non-coding RNA, 101 nt
Filed under: Cebus imitator (Panamanian white-faced capuchin)
Lineage: Eukaryota; Metazoa; Chordata; Mammalia; Primates; Cebidae
Description: HOX antisense intergenic RNA myeloid 1 conserved region 4 (ENSCCAG00000012415.1)
Rfam family: HOX antisense intergenic RNA myeloid 1 conserved region 4
Source: RNAcentral